Molecule: ribosomal RNA, 803 nt
Filed under: uncultured bacterium
Lineage: Bacteria
Description: bacterial SSU rRNA
Rfam family: Bacterial small subunit ribosomal RNA
Source: RNAcentral
AUUGAAGCUUGCUUCAAUUGCCGGCGACCGGCGCACGGGUGAGUAACGCGUAUCCAACCUUCCGUACACUCAGGGAUAGCCUUUCGAAAGAAAGAUUAAUACCUGAUGGUAUGAUGAGAUUGCAUGAUAGCAUCAUUAAAGAUUUAUCGGUGUACGAUGGGGAUGCGUUCCAUUAGGUAGUAGGCGGGGUAACGGCCCACCUAGCCAACGAUGGAUAGGGGUUCUGAGAGGAAGGUCCCCCACAUUGGAACUGAGACACGGUCCAAACUCCUACGGGAGGCAGCAGUGAGGAAUAUUGGUCAAUGGACGAGAGUCUGAACCAGCCAAGUAGCGUGAAGGAUGAAGGUCCUACGGAUUGUAAACUUCUUUUAUAAGGGAAUAAACCCUCCCACGUGUGGGAGCUUGUAUGUACCUUAUGAAUAAGCAUCGGCUAACUCCGUGCCAGCAGCCGCGGUAAUACGGAGGAUGCGAGCGCUAUCCGGAUUUAUUGGGUUUAAAGGGAGCGCAGACGGGUCGUUAAGUCAGCUGUGAAAGUUUGGGGCUCAACCUUAAAAUUGCAGUUGAUACUGGCGUCCUUGAGUGCGGUUGAGGUGUGCGGAAUUCGUGGUGUAGCGGUGAAAUGCUUAGAUAUCACGAAGAACUCCGAUUGCGAAGGCAGCACACUAAUCCGUAACUGACGUUCAUGCUCGAAAGUGUGGGUAUCAAACAGGAUUAGAUACCCUGGUAGUCCACACGGUAAACGAUGGAUACUCGCUGUUGGCGAUAUACUGUCAGCGGCUUAGCGAAAGCGUUAAGUAUCCCAC